UACGUAGGGGGCAAGCGUUGUCCGGAAUCAUUGGGCGUAAAGAGCGUGUAGGCGGCCCGAUAAGUCCGCCGUGAAAGUCCAGGGCUCAACCCUGGAAUGCCGGUGGAAACUGUCGGACUGGAGUCCGGAAGAGGCGAGUGGAAUUCCUGGUGUAGCGGUGAAAUGCGCAGAUAUCAGGAGGAACACCAAUGGCGAAGGCAGCUCGCUGGGACGGUACUGACGCUGAGACGCGAAAGCGUGGGGAGCAAACAGG
This 253-nucleotide ribosomal RNA is filed under the name uncultured bacterium. Its description in RNAcentral is "partial 16S ribosomal RNA". It matches the Rfam family "Bacterial small subunit ribosomal RNA", at positions 524 to 776 of the family's 1533-position model. The record is from RNAcentral.